Armigeres subalbatus is the source of this 217-nucleotide long non-coding RNA. RefSeq lists it as uncharacterized. The record is from RefSeq and is a predicted model, not a curated record. Lineage: Eukaryota; Metazoa; Arthropoda; Insecta; Diptera; Culicidae. The transcript has 3 exons.
CGUCAUUCUUUGCUGACAUCUGGAGUCUAUUGUGAAACUGGCAGCCACCAGACAGUUUUUCGUGAAUAUCAUCAGGGAAAAUAAGGAAUGAAAUACAAGAGAGCGUCGUGCAUUACCACCACAGUAUAAACAAAAGAAAUCCAAGUUGCGGGUCUAAUUAAAUGGUUCCUGAGGAGCUCAACAUGGUCAACAGGAGGAACCUAAGCUGAUUAACUCA